Molecule: unclassified non-coding RNA, 268 nt
Filed under: fungal sp.
Lineage: Eukaryota; Fungi
Description: partial internal transcribed spacer region
Rfam family: Eukaryotic small subunit ribosomal RNA (bases 1-46)
Source: RNAcentral
AAGUCGUAACAAGGUCUCCGUAGGUGAACCUGCGGAGGGAUCAUUCACAUGAUAUACUUUAAACAAACUGUGAACUUUAUAUAAAAUACUAUUCGUGUGUGUUUGUCGACUUGAUUGUCACUUUCAUACAUUGUCAUUCGAUUGAACAUAAGAUAGUUGGCUUGAAAUGUAAAUUUCUUUCUCAGCUUUGAUUUGAUAUUACUAAACAUUUUAUCACUUCAACCAUAAAACAUAGAAACAACUCUAUGCCCUGGAUAUCUUGGUUCUC